GGGCGGUUAGCUCAGCGGUAGAGCACUUGCUCGACACGCAAGGGGUCACAGGUUCAAUCCCUGUACCGCCCACCA
RNAcentral lists this transfer RNA (75 nucleotides) under Micavibrio aeruginosavorus. RNAcentral's name for it is "tRNA-Val". It matches the Rfam family "tRNA". Rfam says of the family: Transfer RNA (tRNA) molecules are approximately 80 nucleotides in length. Their secondary structure includes four short double-helical elements and three loops (D, anti-codon, and T loops). Lineage: Bacteria; Pseudomonadati; Bdellovibrionota; Bdellovibrionia; Bdellovibrionales; Pseudobdellovibrionaceae. RNAcentral also lists the same sequence under 4 other names. The record is from RNAcentral.